This 131-nucleotide small nucleolar RNA is filed under the name Jaculus jaculus (lesser Egyptian jerboa). RNAcentral describes it as "Small nucleolar RNA SNORA9 (ENSJJAG00000007579.1)". The record is from RNAcentral. Lineage: Eukaryota; Metazoa; Chordata; Mammalia; Rodentia; Dipodidae.
UAGCAAGCCUCCAGCAUGCUUGGGUCUGGAGUGACCCUGUGCACUGCUACAGUGCAGCCAGAGAAGCUUUUCAGAUGUUUUAAAACUUUGUUCUGCCCUCUCCAGAUCAAGAUUAGAAAUUUCAGACAAUA